Molecule: ribosomal RNA, 673 nt
Filed under: Micrococcus sp. LKPek4-14
Lineage: Bacteria; Bacillati; Actinomycetota; Actinomycetes; Micrococcales; Micrococcaceae
Description: bacterial SSU rRNA
Rfam family: Bacterial small subunit ribosomal RNA
Source: RNAcentral
UCCUGGUGUAGCGGUGGAAUGCGCAGAUAUCAGGAGGAACACCGAUGGCGAAGGCAGGUCUCUGGGCUGUAACUGACGCUGAGGAGCGAAAGCAUGGGGAGCGAACAGGAUUAGAUACCCUGGUAGUCCAUGCCGUAAACGUUGGGCACUAGGUGUGGGGACCAUUCCACGGUUUCCGCGCCGCAGCUAACGCAUUAAGUGCCCCGCCUGGGGAGUACGGCCGCAAGGCUAAAACUCAAAGGAAUUGACGGGGGCCCGCACAAGCGGCGGAGCAUGCGGAUUAAUUCGAUGCAACGCGAAGAACCUUACCAAGNCUUGACAUGUUCUCGAUCGCCGUAGAGAUACGGUUUCCCCUUUGGGGCGGGUUCACAGGUGGUGCAUGGUUGUCGUCAGCUCGUGUCGUGAGAUGUUGGGUUAAGUCCCGCAACGAGCGCAACCCUCGUUCCAUGUUGCCAGCACGUAGUGGUGGGGACUCAUGGGAGACUGCCGGGGUCAACUCGGAGGAAGGUGAGGACGACGUCAAAUCAUCAUGCCCCUUAUGUCUUGGGCUUCACGCAUGCUACAAUGGCCGGUACAAUGGGUUGCGAUACUGUGAGGUGGAGCUAAUCCCAAAAAGCCGGUCUCAGUUCGGAUUGGGGUCUGCAACUCGACCCCAUGAAGUCGGAGUCGCUAG